Molecule: long non-coding RNA, 337 nt
Organism: Mercenaria mercenaria
Lineage: Eukaryota; Metazoa; Mollusca; Bivalvia; Venerida; Veneridae
Exons: 3
Source: RefSeq, a predicted model, not a curated record
AAUUGUUGAACUAUUUUUAGCCUUCACGGCCAGGGUCGUCACGACCAGUAUCAAGGGUGAGCACACCAGGUCCUUCAGAACAACUGCUUGACGUCCUGGAAAGGCUCGGAAAACUGGACAGUGACCAUGUAGCCCUGAAGAAGAGAGUAGAUGAUCUAGAGGAAGAAAUGAAGAACAAGUUAGACAAGUCUGCUAUUGAAGGAUUAGGGAUACCAGCUGACAUGCUAGAACAGAUAGGUAAACUGAAAGAGGAACUGGAUGCUCUCGCUGCUCUGAGAGAAAAGGUAAUGUGUUCUGCACAUAUAUAUAGGUGUCAUUGCUUGCUUUGUGCCUCACU